GAUUAGUGGCGAACGGGUGAGUAACACGUGAGUAACCUGCCCUUGACUCUGGGAUAAGCCUGGGAAACUGGGUCUAAUACCGGAUACGACCAUCUGACGCAUGUCAUGGUGGUGGAAAGCUUUUGUGGUUUUGGAUGGACUCGCGGCCUAUCAGCUUGUUGGUGGGGUAAUGGCCUACCAAGGCGACGACGGGUAGCCGGCCUGAGAGGGUGACCGGCCACACUGGGACUGAGACACGGCCCAGACUCCUACGGGAGGCAGCAGUGGGGAAUAUUGCACAAUGGGCGAAAGCCUGAUGCAGCGACGCCGCGUGAGGGAUGACGGCCUUCGGGUUGUAAACCUCUUUCAGUAGGGAAGAAGCGAAAGUGACGGUACCUGCAGAAGAAGCGCCGGCUAACUACGUGCCAGCAGCCGCGGUAAUACGUAGGGCGCAAGCGUUAUCCGGAAUUAUUGGGCGUAAAGAGCUCGUAGGCGGUUUGUCGCGUCUGCUGUGAAAGACCGGGGCUCAACUCCGGUUCUGCAGUGGGUACGGGCAGACUAGAGUGCAGUAGGGGAGACUGGAAUUCCUGGUGUAGCGGUGAAAUGCGCAGAUAUCAGGAGGAACACCGAUGGCGAAGGCAGGUCUCUGGGCUGUAACUGACGCUGAGGAGCGAAAGCAUGGGGAGCGAACAGGAUUAGAUACCCUGGUAGUCCAUGCCGUAAACGUUGGGCACUAGGUGUGGGGGACAUUCCACGUUUUCCGCGCCGUAGCUAACGCAUUAAGUGCCCCGCCUGGGGAGUACGGCCGCAAGGCUAAAACUCAAAGGAAUUGACGGGGGCCCGCACAAGCGGCGGAGCAUGCGGAUUAAUUCGAUGCACGCGAAGAACCUUACCAGGCUUGACAUGAACCGGAAAGACCUGGAAACAGGUGCCCCGCUUGCGGUCGGUUUACAGGUGGUGCAUGGUUGUCGUCAGCUCGUGUCGUGAGAUGUUGGGUUAAGUCCCGCAACGAGCGCAACCCUCGUUCUAUGUUGCCAGCGCGUUAUGGCGGGGACUCAUAGGAGACUGCCGGGGUCAACUCGGAGGAAGGUGGGGACGACGUCAAAUCAUCAUGCCCCUUAUGUCUUGGGCUUCACGCAUGCUACAAUGGCCGGUACAAAGGGUUGCGAUACUGUGAGGUGGAGCUAAUCCCAAAAAGCCGGUCUCAGUUCGGAUUGGGGUCUGCAACUCGACCCCAUGAAGUCGGAGUCGCUAGUAAUCGCAGAUCAGCAACGCUGCGGUGAAUACGUUCCCGGGCCUUGUACACACCGCCCGUCAAGUCACGAAAGUUGGUAACACCCG
Molecule: ribosomal RNA, 1320 nt
Filed under: Paenarthrobacter sp.
Lineage: Bacteria; Bacillati; Actinomycetota; Actinomycetes; Micrococcales; Micrococcaceae
Description: bacterial SSU rRNA
Rfam family: Bacterial small subunit ribosomal RNA
Source: RNAcentral